CCUACGGGAGGCAGCAGUGAGGAAUAUUGGUCAAUGGGCGCGAGCCUGAACCAGCCAAGUAGCGUGAAGGAUGACUGCCCUACGGGUUGUAAACUUCUUUUAUAAAGGAAUAAAGUGAGGCACGUGUGCCUUUUUGUAUGUACUUUAUGAAUAAGGAUCGGCUAACUCCGUGCCAGCAGCCGCGGUAAUACGGAGGAUCCGAGCGUUAUCCGGAUUCAUUGGGUGUAAAGAGUUCGUAGGCGGCACGUAAAGUCAGGUGUUAAAGGCAGAGGCUCAACUUCUGUACGGCACUGGAUACUUGCAGGCUAGAAUGCGGUAGAGGUAAGGGGAAUUCGUGGUGUAGCGGUGAAAUGCUUAGAUAUCAGGAGGAACAUCGGUGGCGUAAGCGCUUUACUGGGCCGUAAUUGACGCUGAGGAACGAAAGCCAGGGUAGCAAAUGGGAUUAGAUACCCUUGUAGUC
Molecule: ribosomal RNA, 460 nt
Filed under: uncultured bacterium
Lineage: Bacteria
Description: partial 16S ribosomal RNA
Rfam family: Bacterial small subunit ribosomal RNA
Source: RNAcentral